This 453-nucleotide ribosomal RNA is filed under the name uncultured bacterium. RNAcentral's name for it is "bacterial SSU rRNA". It matches the Rfam family "Bacterial small subunit ribosomal RNA", at positions 342 to 786 of the family's 1533-position model. The record is from RNAcentral.
UACAAGGCAGCAGUGGGGAAUAUUGCACAAUGGGCGAAAGCCUGAUGCAGCUAUGCCGCGUGUAUGAAGAAGGCCUUAGGGUUGUAAAGUACUUUCAUCGGGGAGGAAAAAACAAAACUAAUAAUUUUAUUUCUUGACGUUACCCGAAAAAGAAGCACCGGCUAACUCCGUGCCAGCAGCCGCGGUAAUACGGAGGGUGCUAGCGUUAAUCAGAAUUACUGGGCGUAAAGAGCACGUAGGUGGUUUUUUUAAGUCAGAUGUGAAAUCCCUGGGCUUAACCUGGAACUGCAUUUUGAAACUGAAAUACUAGAGUAUCGUAGAGGGAGGUAGAAUUCUAGGUGUAGCGGUGAAAUGCGUAGAUAUCUGGAGGAAUACCUGUGGCGAAAGCGGCCUCCUAAACGAAUACUGACACUGAGGUGCGAAAGCGUGGGGAGCAAACAGGGAUUAGAUACC